GGAGAGAUGUCUGAGUGGCUUAAGGAGCACGCUUGGAAAGCGUGUGAACUCGAAAGGGUUCCGAGGGUUCGAAUCCCUCUCUCUCCGCCA
This 90-nucleotide transfer RNA is filed under the name Pseudomonadota bacterium. RNAcentral describes it as "Proteobacteria bacterium tRNA-Ser". It matches the Rfam family "tRNA". From Rfam's summary of the family: Transfer RNA (tRNA) molecules are approximately 80 nucleotides in length. Lineage: Bacteria; Pseudomonadati; Pseudomonadota. The record is from RNAcentral.